RNAcentral lists this ribosomal RNA (913 nucleotides) under Cantharellus zangii. RNAcentral describes it as "partial large subunit ribosomal RNA". It matches the Rfam family "Eukaryotic large subunit ribosomal RNA", at positions 56 to 978 of the family's 3401-position model. Lineage: Eukaryota; Fungi; Basidiomycota; Agaricomycetes; Cantharellales; Hydnaceae. The record is from RNAcentral.
GAAAAGAAACUAACUAGGAUUCCCCCAGUAACUGCGAGUGAAGAGGGAAGAGCUCAUCAUUGGAAUCUGGCAGCGUUGCGCUGUCCGAGUUGUAGAUGAGAAGAGUGGGACAUCUGGACUGCAUGGUGUCCAAGUACAAUAGGCCGUCAGUGGGACAUCAUAGAGGGUGACAAUCCCGUCCUUGACACCAAUGUACGAGUCCUUUACGAUGCCUAUCUCGGAGAGUCGAGCAGUUUGGGAUUUGCUGCUUAAACACGGGAGGUAGAUUCCUUCCAAAGCUAAAUACAGGCAAGAGACCGAUAGUGAACAAGUACCGCAAGGGAAAGAUGAAAUAGAACUCUGUGAAGGGAGUCAAAAAGACGUGAAAUUGUUGCGAGAGAAGCGAUUCAAGUCAGCGUAGCUGGGCCCAUCAAGCCUCGCGCUUUGGACCAGCUUUGCCAGCGGUCUUGUCCCUAGAGACUUGACUAAGGUGCCCUGCCCGGUCUAACGGACAGGCCUCCCCUCUGGGGAGGCCAGUGGCAUGGCUGGUGGAAUGGCUUGCAAUCGACCCGUCUUGAAACACGGACCAAGGAGUCUAACAUGUACGCGAGUAUAAGGGUGGCAAACCCGUAUGCGCAAAGAAAGUGAUAGCCUUCAUGGCUGAGAAUGACCUGACGACCAGACAAGAAAUAUCAUGUCCCUCGUACGGUCAUUGCCCAAGUCCCAUGGUCAGAUCCCAUGGACAUGGAGUUGGAGCGUGCAUGCUAGGACCCGAAAGAUGGUGAACUAUGCCUGGACAAAGCGAAGCCAAAGGAAACUCUGGUGGAGGCUUGUAGCGAUUCUGACGUGCAAAUCGAUCGUCUGAUCUGGGUAUAGGGGCGAAAGACUAAUCGAACCAUCUCAUAGCUGGUUCCUGCCGAGUUCCCCCUCAGGA